This 1471-nucleotide ribosomal RNA is filed under the name uncultured Bordetella sp. RNAcentral's name for it is "partial 16S-23S ribosomal RNA intergenic spacer". It matches the Rfam family "Bacterial small subunit ribosomal RNA". The record is from RNAcentral. Lineage: Bacteria; Pseudomonadati; Pseudomonadota; Betaproteobacteria; Burkholderiales; Alcaligenaceae.
GGUUCGAUUAUGGCUCAGAUUGAACGCUGGCGUGGAUGCUUUACACAUGCAAGUCGAACGGCAGCACGGACUUCGGUCUGGGGCGAGUGGCGAACGGGUGAGUAAUGUAUCGGAACGUGCCUAGUAGCGGGGGAUAACUACGCGAAAGCGUAGCUACCGCAUACGCCCUUCGGGGAAAGCGGGGACCUUCGGGCCUCGCAAUUAGAUGGGCCGAUAUCGGAUUAGCCGUUGGUGGGGUAACGGCUCACCAAGGCGACGAUCCGUAGCUGGUUUGAGAGGACGACCAGCCACACUGGAUUCGAGACACGGCCUCCAGACUCCUACGGGAGGCAGCAGUGGGGAAUUUUGGACAAUGGGGGAAACCCCGAUCCAGCCAUCCCGCGUGUGCGAUGAAGGCCUUCGGGUUGUAAAGCACUUUGGCAGGAAAGAAAACGUACCGGAUAAUACCCCGCAACUGACGGUACCUGCAGAAUAAGCACCGGUAUUACGUGCCAGCAGCCGCGGUAAUACGUAGGGUGAAGCGUUAAUCGGAAUUACUGGGCGUAAAGCGUGCGCAGGCGGUUCGGAAAAAGAAAGAUGUGAAAUCCCAGAGCUUAAUCUUGGAACUGCAUUUUUAACUACCGAGCUAGAGGCCAGAUAGGGAAUUCGCGUAGCAGUGAAAUGCGGAGAUAUGCGAGGAACACCGAUGGCGCGAAGGCAGCCCUCUGGGAUAACACUGACGCUCAUGCACGAAAGCGUGGGGAGCAAACAGGAUUAGAUACCCUGGUAGUCCACGCCUCAAACGAUGUCAACUAGCUGUUGGGGCCUUCGGGCCUUGGUAGCGCAGCUAACGCGUGAAGUUGACCGCCUGGGGAGUACGGUCGCAAGAUUAAAACUCAAAGGAAUUGACGGGGACCCGCACAAGCGGUGGAUGAUGUGGAUUAAUUCGAUGCAACGCGAAAACCUUACCUACCCUUGGACAUGUCUGAAUCCCGAAGAGAUUUGGGAGGUUUUCAAAGAGAGAACGCCGAACACAGGUGCUGCAUGGUUACCGUCAGCUCGUGUCGUGAGAUGUUGGGUUAAGUCCCGCAACGAGCGCAACCCUUGUCAUUAGUUGCCACGAAAGGGCACUCUAAUGAGACUGCCGGUGACAAACCGGAGGAAGGUGGGGAUGACGUCAAGUCCUCAUGGCCCUUAUGGGUAGGGCUUCACACGUCAUACAAUGGUCGGGACAGAGGUCGCCAACCCGCGAGGGGGAGCCAAUCCCCAGAAACCCGAUCGUAGUCCGGAUCGCAGUCUGCAACUCGACUGCGUGAAGUCGGAAUCGCUAGUAAUCGCGGAUCAGCAUGUCGCGGUGAAUACGUUCCCGGUCUUGUACACACCGCCCGUCACACCAUGGGAGUGGGUUUUUACCAGAAGUAGUUAGCCCAACCGUAAGGAGGGCGAUUACCACGGUAGGAUUCAUGACUGGGGUGAAGUCGUAACAAGGUAA